RNAcentral lists this long non-coding RNA (622 nucleotides) under Homo sapiens (human). RNAcentral describes it as "HSALNT0303897". Lineage: Eukaryota; Metazoa; Chordata; Mammalia; Primates; Hominidae. The record is from RNAcentral.
AGUAUAUGACUACUGAUUGAGAUGAACAUUCUGAAAGAAACUCCAUGGGAACAUGAAUGGAAUUUUAAAAGAAGACUUAAUAUCGAUUUGAGAGUCAAGGACUGACUCUGAGAAAAGGAAUUUAAGACUUAGGCAAUGGCAGCAUUUAAGUAGACAGAGACAAGAAAAAAAUACUGUCAGUUUCUUAACCUGGGACCUAUAACAAGGCUGCUCACAGAAAAGGAACUAUCUCCAGUUUCACUGGGUGCCCUGGAUUCAUAGAUGGACAAAGCUUUCUCUUGUCAAGAUCUUGUCUUUCAACUCUGUUGGAUAGCAUAUUUAUCUUAGUUUCAGCCUUGAAUUCUCACUUGGACAUAUUCUAUUUCCCUACCAGAGUGUAACCCCAAUAUAAGGACUGACAGUCAAGCUCUACUACACCUCUUAGCCAGUUUCUCCAGAUAAUAACGAAUACCAUACACAUUCACAGGCCAUGUUCUAAAGGAUUCUCAGAAGGUACACCACUUUGAAUUUAUCUAUUCUCCUUCUCUUAUGCUAAAUUUUGCUAGUAGAAAUGUGUGACUUAGGUUAUUAAACCUCUCAAUGUGUCCUCAAUUAAAAUUCAAAAGUUUCUAUGAAGAAAAGC